Molecule: long non-coding RNA, 322 nt
Filed under: Populus trichocarpa (black cottonwood)
Lineage: Eukaryota; Viridiplantae; Streptophyta; Magnoliopsida; Malpighiales; Salicaceae
Description: long non-coding RNA (PTRI_LNC003701)
Source: RNAcentral
CCCACACCGACCAAAAGCGCCGAGAUGAUCACUGAUCCAACGUUCGUUAGAAAAACCACGAAAACGCUCAGAACGAUUAGAAUCCCGAGCGUUUCACGGUCACUGAAUGUCCGGCCGAAGAGGACCAGAGGCUGAUCGGAAGCGCGGAAGAGAUACAAGAAAAGCCAGGAGCAGAGGAGACCGACGAGGAGGAGGAGGGAGAAGGGGUUAGUAAGGAGGGAGAAUGCGAGGAUUACGAAAAUGGCGGCGAGGUAAUUGAUGCGGAAAUAGGCGUAGUUUUUGCGGAUCCGGGUUGUGGCUUCGGAUAUGGAUUCGGGUUUGG